This 329-nucleotide unclassified non-coding RNA is filed under the name soil metagenome. Its description in RNAcentral is "partial contains 5.8S ribosomal RNA, internal transcribed spacer 2, and large subunit ribosomal RNA". The stretch from base 1 to 120 matches the Rfam family "5.8S ribosomal RNA", at positions 35 to 154 of the family's 154-position model. The record is from RNAcentral.
GAUGAAGAACGUAGCGAAAUGCGAUAAGUAGUGUGAAUUGCAGAAUUCAGUGAAUCAUCGAAUCUUUGAACGCACAUUGCGCCCCUUGGUAUCCCGAGGGGCAUGCCUGUUCGAGCGUCAUUUCACCACUCAAGCCUGGCUUGGUGUUGGGCGACGUCCCCUUUGGGGAUGCGCCUCGAAACGCUCGGCGGCGUGGCACCGGCUUUAAGCGUAGCAGAAUCUUUCGCUUUGGAAGUCGGGGCCCCGUCUGCCGGAAGACCUACUCGCAAGGUUGACCUCGGAUCAGGCAGGGAUACCCGCUGAACUUAAGCAUAUCAAUAAGCGGAGGA